AGCUUUGCGCAGUGGCAUUAUUGUAGCCAAUGAGGUUUAUCCGAAGUGCGAUUAUUGCUAAUUAAAAACAAAUGAAACCCUCCUACACAUAUGAAGAGCCCAGAAAUUAUUUGUUCUCCCUG
This 122-nucleotide small nuclear RNA is filed under the name Canis lupus dingo (dingo). RNAcentral describes it as "U4 spliceosomal RNA (ENSCAFG00020023227.1)". The stretch from base 1 to 82 matches the Rfam family "U4 spliceosomal RNA". Rfam says of the family: U4 small nuclear RNA (U4 snRNA) is a component of the major U2-dependent spliceosome. The structure of U4 snRNA from yeast and human has been reported. The record is from RNAcentral. Lineage: Eukaryota; Metazoa; Chordata; Mammalia; Carnivora; Canidae.